UCUCUUCCUCCAGGGUCCUCCAGGUUCCUCCAAUGAUUCUGGAGAUGCCCAUUUGGAACUGAAAGCCUCUGAUACUGUAAGGUGGAAGGGAUGAUGCUCCAAACAAGGACUAACCAGUGAUCGCACCAGCUCCUCUUAGAAGCUUCUGAGGCCUAUGGGGCCUUUCGUGGGCUGCCUCUCGUCUCCCCCCACUCUUGGCUUCUCAAUUUACUCCUUUGGAUCUUUCCAGAAACCGUCUUGGGCAGUUCUGAAACAAAGGUCACCUAGUGGCCAUAAACAAAAAACAUUUUGAAAUCAUCAUUUCCCACAAAGACUUCUGUCUUGA
This 325-nucleotide long non-coding RNA is filed under the name Lynx pardinus (Iberian lynx). Lineage: Eukaryota; Metazoa; Chordata; Mammalia; Carnivora; Felidae. The record is from RNAcentral.